This 253-nucleotide ribosomal RNA is filed under the name uncultured bacterium. Its description in RNAcentral is "partial 16S ribosomal RNA". It matches the Rfam family "Bacterial small subunit ribosomal RNA", at positions 524 to 776 of the family's 1533-position model. The record is from RNAcentral.
GACGAAGGGGGCUAGCGUUGUUCGGAAUUACUGGGCGUAAAGCGAGUGUAGGUGGUUGUCCAAGUUGGAUGUGAAAGCCCCCGGCUCAACUGGGGAGGGUCACGCGAUACUGCUCGACUCGAAGGCAGGAGAGGGAAGUGGAAUUCCCGGUGUAGUGGUGAAAUGCGUAGAUAUCGGGAGGAACACCAGUGGCGAAGGCGACUUCCUGGCCUGUUCUUGACGCUGAGGCGCGAAAGCUAGGGGAGCAAACGGG